AUUGAACGCUGGCGGCAUGCCUUACACAUGCAAGUCGAACGGCAGCACGGACUUCGGUCUGGUGGCGAGUGGCGAACGGGUGAGUAAUAUAUCGGAACGUGCCCUAGAGUGGGGGAUAACGUAGCGAAAGUUACGCUAAUACCGCAUACGAUCUAAGGAUGAAAGUGGGGGAUCGCAAGACCUCAUGCUCGUGGAGCGGCCGAUAUCUGAUUAGCUAGUUGGUGGGGUAAAAGCCUACCAAGGCGACGAUCAGUAGCUGGUCUGAGAGGACGACCAGCCACACUGGGACUGAGACACGGCCCAGACUCCUACGGGAGGCAGCAGUGGGGAAUUUUGGACAAUGGGGGCAACCCUGAUCCAGCAAUGCCGCGUGUGUGAAGAAGGCCUCGGGUUGUAAGCACUUUUGGCGGGACGAAACGGUGGGGGCUAAGUAUCCUCUGCUAAUGACGGUACCGCAGAAUAGCACCGGCUAACGUACGUGCCAGCAGCCGCGG
Molecule: ribosomal RNA, 494 nt
Filed under: uncultured bacterium
Lineage: Bacteria
Description: bacterial SSU rRNA
Rfam family: Bacterial small subunit ribosomal RNA
Source: RNAcentral